GUGUUGCGUGAAAGGAGGCACGGUUAGCAGUCCCCUGACAACGAAGGAAGAAGACCCCAGGCCUGACAACACACAUACUGUUAAGGCAUUGCCACCUACUUUGUGGCAUCUAACCAUUGUUUUUU
Molecule: small nuclear RNA, 125 nt
Organism: Ailuropoda melanoleuca (giant panda)
Lineage: Eukaryota; Metazoa; Chordata; Mammalia; Carnivora; Ursidae
Source: Ensembl